UGGUGGAGUGAUUUGUCUGGUUAAUUCCGUUAACGAACGAGACCACGACCUGCUAAAUAGUACACCGUAGCCUCCUGGCUACGGUCUGUGCUUCUUGGAGGGACUGUCGGUUCUUAGCCGAAGGAAGAUCGUGGCAAUAACA
This 142-nucleotide ribosomal RNA is filed under the name uncultured eukaryote. RNAcentral's name for it is "partial 18S ribosomal RNA". It matches the Rfam family "Eukaryotic small subunit ribosomal RNA", at positions 1299 to 1458 of the family's 1831-position model. The record is from RNAcentral.